Nematostella vectensis (starlet sea anemone) is the source of this 3625-nucleotide long non-coding RNA. RefSeq lists it as uncharacterized. The record is from RefSeq and is a predicted model, not a curated record. Lineage: Eukaryota; Metazoa; Cnidaria; Anthozoa; Actiniaria; Edwardsiidae. The transcript is spliced from 5 exons.
AGAAUGAGGCAAGAGCCAGAGUGCGUGAGGCCGCGGGAGAUGCCAGCAAUACUGAGUGGGUGCUGAGCAAGUGCUCACUCCAGUUUGGCAUCAACCGCGGCAAAACGUUCAUCUGGCUGCUCAGUAAUGACUGGGGCUGGGCAGUCAUGGUGCUGGCCAGCCACGAGACCAAGAGGGCAAUUAAGCAUCCACAAGGGGACAGCCAGUGGGACAACAAGGAGGCCCUGAGACGAUAUGCUCACUUCUUCCCACCCCUUGUGGAUGCCAUUCAAAAUCGAAUCGAUCAUGAGUUAGGGAGAGUCGAUCUUGGGGCGGAGCCAGUUGGGUUCGGCCCAUUUGGGCAGAUGACAAGGAGGGCUGUCCUGGCAUCCAAGUCACCAGAGCACAUCCGGUGGCUCCAGCAGGUAUCCCAGCUGCCUGUCCGACAACCUGGGAGCUCACUAGAUGUGUUUCUAAAGUACGCGAGGGGGUGUGAGCAAGCAGAGGUGCAGUCUGAUGAUGCUGAUCUAGUCGAGGCACUUGAUCAGUAUGAGCAGUCAGACUGCCCCAUCUAGCCUGCCCCCCCCCUGGAGCCAAGACAACCUUCACGGGUGGAGCUUCUGGAUCAGCCGACGGGGAAGCCGUGGGGAACAGUGAACUUAGACCCCGAACAGCCUGAUGACCUGACUGCUGAGGAAGAAGACGACAUGGAUGACGAAGGCUUCCUCGAGAUGGACAAAGACCCAACCGUGCCUACCCUGCUAGCACCUUGUGCCUUAGCUACUGCCCCUUCAGUCUCAGAAGUUCCAGCGUCCACUGUUUCCUCCUCUUCCCCUCUGCGACGCUCCCCUGGCCCAUCAGGUACUAUCUCUGCAAGUACUUCUGGCAGCCCACGUACUCUGAACCAAGACAGCCCACCUUCUCCUUCGCAGGCGGGAUCUGAUGGUGGCGAUGAUGAAGAUGUUGUCGGUCCGAUGGAAGAAGCUUCCUCCCUCCUUCCAGAAGAGCCGAGUUCUCUACCCUCCUCGGUACAGGGCAAACAAGGACUACACUGGCCGAUUCCAGCGAUCCAAGGCUAACAAGCAGACUGUAGCACCGGGAAUCACCAGCCUGAAGAGGGUUAUGGUUUGGGAAACUCUGAUCCAGCCAUAUCUGUGGAUGCAAGCCCCCUGGUCUAAGCCCUCUGCGUACGCCUUGAAGCUGCCUUCACUACACCUAAAAAGGGCAGCAACAUUCGCAUAGUGUCAACGUGAAAGGUAAUCCUGGAUAAAUACCAAAAUAUCCGGAAAUAUCCAGUAAUCCUCCACAAACGGCUCAUUACGACUACAAACAUCCAACACUACGAGCUCAACCAGACAACCCUUCUCGGUUGGUGGAACAACAGGACAAAGUAGAUAAAAAGGUGUUGGAGCAAUGUCUUGAACCUAUUGUAGCUGAGGAAGCAGCUGGCGCCCAGCUUUCAUCUGCCAAGGCCUUGUUACCAGCACCAACCCAGCAUCCCGGUCCUACACAGCUUUACAGUGGUACAGUCUGCGCAGCUGCCUCCAUGCCCCAACUGUGGUGUAUAACAAAGUCCACCCUCGGUCGAGGAGUGCCUCAAAGUAAAAUAACAAUUUAUGAUAUUUUUUUAAACCUUAUAUCAUUUUCAAAUUUCAAACUAGAUAAUUGAACAGCAACUCUGAAUCUUUCAGAAGCUCCCAUCAACAACACCAUAUGCCGCAGCCAUCAGACGGUAAGAUUCCAGUUUCCUUUUCGUACAAAGACUGAUAAAAUUCACUAUGAAAAUUUUUGAACCAAAAUAAUAUAUGUGCAAUAAGCUUCCAAAUCUAACUUGGCCUGCAUGUGGAACUCAUGAUUACCCACAAAGUGAAUCGUAAGGAAAGCUGCACAGCUGCUUCACUAUAGGUUUCUACCAGCUAAAGUUUGGGAAGUUUAGAGGACAGACCUUCAAGUGGCUGGUAGAAAACAGUUAAGGAUAUGCUGCCUGGUUAGUUGAUAAUGCCCGCCUGGAGACAACAAACACCAGUGCCAUCUCUCAGAACAAAAACGCCUUCAAAACAUACCUACUGUUCUUCCUCGAAGGAAAAGAGGCGGUCGGCAUGAAAGGCUACUGAGAGAGAGAGCAAGUCAAAGGGCGGAGCAAACAAACCUACCAGUGCUUCCAAAUCUGAACUAGGAGCUGCAUGUGUAGCCGUCAUGCGCAAUUCAAGAUUACCCUUAGAGUUAAUCCCAAGGAGGGUUGGGCAGCUGCUCUAUAGUAAGGCUAUACAGCCUAAUUUAGUUAGAAGAGGUAUGUAAUAAGGACAUAAUAAAAUAAAAGGAUAUAAUAAAAACAAAAAUCAGGGUAAAGCGGCACAAGGACAGGAAGCUUCCAGGGAGGGAAUGAGAGAACUGGAAACGGACGAUUGUUUGUUAUAGGUGGGAUUGUAAACAAUGUGAAGCUGUGCUGUGGAGGGCUCGCAGUGGGUCUUCAUAUAUGUGAAAAAUUUGGCAAGAGAUAUUACUUAAGUGGGAACCCCAUAUUUAACAAAACUAAUCAUUAGACAAAAUCCUCCAUCCAAACCAUGAUGAGCCUGAUGAAAAUAAAGGAACCGGUAACGGAUUGUAUUGCCAAGCCCUUGUAUGGUAAAACAAAGAGAUGGUUUAAAACAUCAGCUACUGCAAAACCAAUGUCUGUGUUGGAAGAGAUCUCUAACAACAAAAAGACGGUUGAAGAUGAAGAUACCACUUCAGUGAGGCAUGCCACCCAAACACUAAGAUGAAUCUAUUGCUGAUAAAAAGGGGUGAGUAUUAUGUUUUAUGUACUAUAUUGAUCGUUGAUAAUAUGAAUAAAGUCAUGAGGUCAUGGUUCUAAUUUAUUUCAAAUACUAAAAUCUCUAAUUUACUUGUAUGGACAAAACCACUGAGCGUGCUAAAAUGGUAAACCUAUUAAUAGAUUUUUUGCCAUUUUUCUAUUUCAUACAAAAUAAACAGCAGAUAUUUAACAAGAUAAGACCCCAAAAAGGUACCAAUUUAACAAUGUGAUGCUUAAAAAAGUGACAAAAUAAGCAGCAUGCACAACACCAAGAAAUGGAGGGGUAACACUCAGACUUAUCAACACUUUUGUAAAUAGACUAGUUUUUAAACAUUUACCUAGGAUCAUUUUACCAUUUUAAAUUAUAGUACAAACCAAUACAAUACUGUUGUGAAUCUCAUGUCAUAUCGGUAAUUACGCUUUAUUAUUUAUUUCAUGCUAUAAAGAUCCAAAGGAAGAAGAUGAAGAUAGGGAAAGGGGGGAAAAGAACAGAAAGGAGUAGUCGAGCCAAUCUCCCAAACAGACCCCGUCACCUUCACUAAACCAGGGCCAACACCUGGUACUUGUAUGGCCCCAAGCACAGCUGAAGAUAAUACAGAAUUCCUCCUCUCUGAUGGCUGGCGUCAGACUCUCCCUAAAGAAGACCACAAGUGGAUUGCUCGAUCCCUCUUCAAAGUCAACGCCAGCAGUGGAAAAGCCGAGCUAGAUUUCACAAGGUGUUCAUCUAUGGCUUGUUAUGGGGAUCAUUUUACCAUUUUAAAUUAUAGUACAAACCAAUACAAUACUGUUGUGAAUCUCAUGUCAUAUCGGUAAUUACGCUUUAUUAUUUAUUUCAUGCUAUAAAGAUCCAAA